Molecule: long non-coding RNA, 4590 nt
Organism: Oncorhynchus keta (chum salmon)
Lineage: Eukaryota; Metazoa; Chordata; Actinopteri; Salmoniformes; Salmonidae
Exons: 4
Source: RefSeq, a predicted model, not a curated record
GUAAACAUUGAUAUUUAAACAUAUUUUAAGAGUUUUGGUAACAGGACUGAGGAAAAAUGCAACCAUCUUCCAUUUUAGAAACCUUGUGAAAAAAAAAAAAAGAAUUGUCUGAGAUUGACCAUUACACAUUUUGAAUAGUUAAACAUGUGUUAUUAGAUAGUGCUGAAAAAAGAUAAGGAAUGAAGUUUAAUUUUGAAAAGUUACAACAUGCAAAUGGUACCGAUUCAGCGGAAUGGCCCAUAAAUAUAAACUAUGCACCUUAUGACUUUCAUUAACACGCAGGUGUCAUGCAGACAUUAGUAAGGCAUUGGUGUCAUGUCAGUUUGAUGUUCAAUGGUAGGCGACAGCCACACGGUGGUAUGUUUGCCCAGGCUUAAUUCUGGCACUUAUCACCCCCCAUACCAGCCUGUACAGUGGUUUCCUGGACUGUUUCCUGAAGACUUACUGCCACAACGGGCUCUGUGCCUGACCUGGCCAACGUGGCUGGAAUGCUGUGCUAUUUGUCUGAUACGGGGCCUGCCAGCAGCUCACCAGGAGAGACUUUAGGCUGGAGAACGUGUCUGACCUCAGUAGCCUGCAGUAUACCCUGUCUGGCUCCCUGGCAUUGGUGGUCUUCUCACUGGUGUUUUGUCUCAGAGCUGGUGAAGGGUCGUAUGCAGGCCAUGCAUGAGAUGAGGCUCGGGGGAGACUUCCCUGGUGUCUUGCAUGUGUCCCUGCUUUGUAUUCUGGUCGAACCCCCACUUCCCCUCCAACGGAGCACUAUUCCUGGCUUAUGAGUGGACGAGAAGAGCCCUCCUCAACCACACAUCUGCAUCCUGAGUUAGUUUGUAGGGAUGGGGCAGAAGAGGUUUGUAAAUUCAAAUUCCCCAAAAAUGCAUUAACAUGUACAAACCUCUAAAACUACAUUGUUAAUUUGUGUUAAACUCUGAUCUUGUUUUAACCAUGUUUUCUAUGUCUGGGGUGUAUUCACUAAGAACCCAAAUGGAACCAAAUGUAAGGAAACAGGGAGGGACCUACCGGAAUUUGUCCAUGUAACAUUUGUCAUAAUGAGCGGCCCAAGGCGCAGCGUGCAUAGAGUUCCGCAUAUUUUAAUUCAUCGACCGACCCGUGACGCUACUGGCAUGCAGACAUGCAACUACUGGCAUGCACACAAGCAACUACUGACAUGCAACUACUGGCACGCACACAUGCAACUACUGGCAUGCACGCAUGCAACUACUGACAUGCAACUACUGGCAUGCACACAUGCAACUACUGGCGUCACACAAGCAACUACUGACAUGCAACUACUGGCAUGCACACAUGCAACUACUGGCAUGCACAAACACAACUACUGGCAUGCACACAUGCAACUACUGGCAUGCAACUACUGGCAUGCACACAUGCAACUACUGGCAUGCACACACACAACUAUUGGCAUGCACACAUGCAACUACUGGCAUACACACAUUCAACUACUGGCAUGCACACACACAACUACUGGCAUGCACACAUGCAACUAAACUACUGGCAUGCACACAUGCAACUACUGGCAUGCACACAAGCAACUACUGACAUGCAACUACUGGCAUGCACACAUGCAACUCCUGGCAUGAACACAUGCAACUACUGGCAUGCACACACAACUACUGGCAUGCACACAAGCAACUACUGACAUGCAACUCCUGGCAUGAACACAUGCAACUACUGGCAUGCACACAUGCAACUACUGCCAUGCACACAUGCAACUACUGCCAUGCACACAUGCAACUACUGCCAUGCACACAAGCAACUACUGACAUGCAACUACUGGCAUGCACACAUGCAACUACUGGCAUGCAACUACUGGCAUGCACACACACAACUAUUGGCAUGCACACAUGCAACUACUGGCAUACACACAUUCAACUACUGGCAUGCACACACACAACUACUGGCAUGCACACAUGCAACUAAACUACUGGCAUGCACACAUGCAACUACUGGCAUGAACACAUGCAACUACUGGCAUGCACACAUGCAACUACUGCCAUGCACACAUGCAACUACUGCCAUGCACACAAGCAACUACUGACAUGCAACUACUGGCAUGCACACAUGCAACUACUGGCAUGCAACUACUGGCAUGCACACACACAACUAUUGGCAUGCACACAUGCAACUACUGGCAUACACACAUUCAACUACUGGCAUGCACACACACAACUACUGGCAUGCACACAUGCAACUAAACUACUGGCAUGCACACAUGCAACUACUGGCAUGAACACAUGCAACUACUGGCAUGCACACACAACUACUGGCAUGCACACAAGCAACUACUGACAUGCAACUACUGGCAUGCACACAUGCAACUACUGCCAUGCACACAUGCAACUACUGCCAUGCACACAUGCAACUACUGCCAUGCACACAUGCAACUACUGCCAUGCACACAAGCAACUACUGACAUGCAACUACUGGCAUGCACACAUGCAACUACUGGCAUGCAACUACUGGCAUGCACACACACAACUAUUGGCAUGCACACAUGCAACUACUGGCAUACACACAUUCAACUACUGGCAUGCACACACACAACUACUGGCAUGCACACAUGCAACUAAACUACUGGCAUGCACACAUGCAACUACUGGCAUGAACACAUGCAACUACUGGCAUGCACACACAACUACUGGCAUGCACACAAGCUACUACUGACAUGCAACUACUGGCAUGCACACAUGCAACUACUGGCAUGCACACAUGCAACUACUGCCAUGCACACAAGCAACUACUGACAUGCAACUACUGGCAUGCACACAUGCAACUACUGGCAUGCACACACGCAACUACUGGCAUGCACACACACAACUACUGGCAUGCACACAUGCAACUAAACUACUGGCAUGCACACAUGCAACUACUGGCAUGCACACAAGCAACUACUAACAUGCAACUACUGGCAUGCACACAUGCAACUACUGGCAUGCACACAUGCAACUACUGCCAUGCACACAUGCAACUACUGCCAUGCACACAAGCAACUACUGCCAUGCAACUACUGGCAUGCACACAUGCAACUACUGGCAUGCACACACACAACUACUGGCAUGCACACACACAACUACUGGCAUGCACACAUGCAACUAAACUACUGGCAUGCACACAAGCAACUACGGACAUGCAACUACUGGCAUGCACACAUGCAACUACUGGCAUGCACACAAGCAACUACUGACAUGCACACAAGCAACUACUGACAUGCAACUACUGGCAUGCACACAUGCAACUACUGGCAUGCACACAUGCAACUACUGGCAUGCAACUACUGGCAUGCAACUACUGGCAUGCACUACUGGCAUGCAACUACUGGCAUGCAACUACUGGCAUGCAACUACUGGCAUGCAACUACUGGCAUGCAACUACUGGCAUGCAACUACUGGCAUGCAACUACUGGCAUGCAACUACUGGCAUGCAACUACUGGCAUGCAACUAUCUGUAAACCAGAUCCCACAAAGCACAAUGAGGAAAUGGCUGCCUAAAUAUGAUCCCCAAUCAGAGACAACGAUAAACUGUCUCUGAUUGGGAACCACACCACACCAGGCCAACAUAAACCAUUAAUCACCUAGAUGAUCCACCCUAGUCACUAUCACGCCCCAACCAACAGAGAAUAAACAGCUCUCUAUGGUCAGGGUGUGACAGUCCAAUAGAAACACCUCUUUUUUUUCCCCCCCAAAAAAUGUUUUCUGGUUUGGAGCAAACGGUUACCAUUGCAAAACGUUGUGUAACAUUUUGCUAUGGUCUUCGUCUAAUGAAUACACCCCUGGUCAAUAGGUCUUAAUGUCUAGCCACUGAACGUAAUGAGUCAGGACACAUCAAAGGACUCUAUGCACUACAACAACUCUAACAUUCCAGCCACUGGCCCGAGACAAGCAUUACACAAUUUCACACAGGAUCUGUUGUGUUGUCAACUAGUUAAAAAAAAAAAGAUCCUUCUAUUUACCGUAUAUGUGUAAAUAAAAGCUUUAGGUAUUACAUUAUAUAGCUACAGCACAGCUCAACACUGUUAUAUUUAGUGUUAUGUUCAUUAUUGUUUCUACAUUAAAUGUGUGUUACACAAGUCCAGUGUUAUCCCUCCUUUAUCAUGUCAGAAAGCAAUGCAUUUAAUGGACAACAAUCAAAUCAAAUUGUACUUGUCACAUGCGCCGAAUACAACAGUGAAAUGCUUACUUACAAGCCCUUAACCAACAAUGCAGUCAAGAAAUAUAGUUAAUAAAAUGUUUACUAAAUAAACUAAAGUAACAAAAUAAAAUAUAAAGUAACAAAAUAAAAUGACAUAACAAUAACAAGGCUAUGGGGGUACCGGUACUGAAUCAAUGUGUGGGGGUACCGGUACUGAAUCAAUGUGUGGGGGUACCGGUACUGAAUCAAUGUGUGGGGGUACCGGUACUGAAUCAAUGUGUGGGGGUACCGGUACUGAAUCAAUGUGUGGGGGUACCGGUACUGAAUCAAUGUGUGGGGGUACCGGUACUGAAUCAAUGUGUGGGGGUACCGGUACUGAAUCAAUGUGUGGGGGUACCGGUACUGAAUCAAUGUGUGGGGGUACCGGUACUGAAUCAAUGUGUGGGG